AUCAACUUGCAAAUAAUUGUUUUUUUUUAAAAAAAAACUUAGCGCAAAUAAGAGCACCUUCCGAAAGCUAUUAUGAAUAGACCCGGCUACUGUUUGUGGGCUGGGCUAAUAAUAGGGUAGGUUCCAGGGAGUCGGAGUUUAGGUCUGUAUUUGAAAGUGCUCCAGUCUAGUCCAGUCCAGUUAAAAAUACUGAUGCGCUUCUCUACUCCGCCCAUACACGGAGGCAGCAGAAAUUUCAAUUUUCUGCAGAACUGGCUGAUACAACCAAGAUUUCAUAAAUUGCAACAACGAAAAGCAGACAAAGAGUGUCUUUGUCUAUGUCCUGGUGGUAUGUGAGGUGUACACCGAAGAAAUUCCAUCGAAAGCAUGAAUCCUUUGUUGGAGGACCUCCAAGAGGACGCUUUGCGGUGAAAGGCGUCUCAUAUGGACAAGUCUUUUACUCACCAUCAACAAAGACCGUGUCAAUUAAUGAGUACCUCAGCAGUAGAGCCAGUGACACCAUUAAGGACAAGAUAAGAAGAUCGCUUGAGAUGUUUUAAUCAUACUUAAAGUUGACCAACGGAUGCACUGGUGGAGAAGAGUCAUCAAAUUGAGAAAUUUGAGGCAGUGGGAGGAGAUAAUUAAAAUUAUGGAGGGUGCAGUGAUAGCAAUAUUAUCACAUUAACUUGCAGAAAGUCUAUCCCUUGACAGAAUCCAUUGGAGGAGGCAGAGUUAUGUAGUCAACUCCAACUAGUUUGGACUGAGACUUGAUUUAUUUAAAUUUUCCAGAGUACAUGCACAAAAACUUGCAUACUAUCUACAUGCCCCUGGAAUUUGAUUCAUGUUCCUUUUAGAAUCUUAACUUUAUUUAAAUUGGUCACCUGUAUUUGUGAGUUGCAUAGGCAAAUAAUGGUGCUUGCUCCAUGGAAAAAGUUGCAUAGGCAAAUUGAUCACCUGUAUUAGAUUAAAUGAAACUUUUUUUAUAUUAUUGUAACAACCGGUGUUGGUUAGGUUUUGUUACACUAUGAGAGAAAAAAUAGUCUCAAAUGCUGCCCUCACCGGUUUGAUAAUGAAUCCAGAAAUGUCCAAAGAUGCAAAAGGUUGAUCUAAACUUGAGAGCUUUUAUAUCUAAGCUUGAGCGUUAUGAUAUGAUGGAAUGUGAAAACAAGUCGUUAUGCAUCCAUGUUCACUUAACAGCAGAAAUUUUGAGGUUUUUACCAGUCUAUUUUGGACCUCUUGUAAGCAUAUACCUGAAUUGGAAGAUGAUACAACAUUUCCUCCCCUCCAACUAUGCCGAGAGGACUUGAAUUCUGAAUACGUUUCCAGUCUGCUUGGAACUUCCAAAGCAUAUACCUGAAAGGAAGAUGAUUCAGCGUCCCCUUGCACCAACUUCGGUGAGAGAACUUGGAUCAGACACGGAAAAUAUUCUGGGCCAGAAACAGGAACUUUUAAUUCUUCAAGAAUUCUGUCGGCAGGUAGGAAGUACCAAUAUCAACCCGAGUGUGGUCUCUUCUUGAAGAGCAAUUUCCAUGAAAUUCCUUAGCACUGGAAGAGUUUAGAGAAAAAAUACUGCCUGCAAUUUUAGUCGUGAAUUUGGACAUCCUAUGCUGACUCUCAAUUCAGUAUUUUCAAGCCGACUUAAAAUAGCAAAGAAUACCAACCGAGUGAGGAGACAAGUAGCCGAAAAGAGCCAAAAAUGCCAAAUCAUUAGGAUACCAUUCUCUGGUUUCGAGGUCCCACUUUUGAGCAUCUCCUCAUUUUUCUCAUCCGUGACCUGCAAGAAUUAAUAUAACUCAGUCAAACCAAAUAGCGUGUGAGACAUCAAUUAUGAUUGAAUUUUACUAUUUGUUUUUUUUUAAUUCGUAUAUAAGUAUAUGAUCCACUUGUAUUUUUUUAA
This is an RNA transcript of Populus euphratica (Euphrates poplar), 1876 nucleotides long. RefSeq lists it as uncharacterized. The record is from RefSeq and is a predicted model, not a curated record. The transcript has 7 exons. NCBI's taxonomy places the organism in Eukaryota, Viridiplantae, Streptophyta, Magnoliopsida, Malpighiales, Salicaceae.